Long non-coding RNA from Triticum dicoccoides, 2003 nucleotides. RefSeq lists it as uncharacterized. The record is from RefSeq and is a predicted model, not a curated record. NCBI's taxonomy places the organism in Eukaryota, Viridiplantae, Streptophyta, Magnoliopsida, Poales, Poaceae. The transcript has 2 exons.
CAGACGCCGCGGUUUGCCAAUUGUCCUAGCGCUCCGCGUCCCGGAUUGAUUCCACCCGAAUCGCGUUGACGAGCUGUUUAUCCCGCUAAUUUCUCUGCUCCAGGCCUCACGCUCGAUCUCCCUCCCAAUUAAUCUCAUCUUCUCCUCCGGAGCGCCAGGCUUGCUUGCCCGAUCUGGCACCGUCCGCCGCCGCUGGGCCUCGCCUAGACCACGCGUCGCCGGCGCUGCCGGCUGUCCGCCCAAACGCCUCCCUCUCCUCUCCCGUUUCUCUCCUUCGCCCGUUGCCGUCGUCCGUCCGACCGGCCGCCGCGCCACGCGCGCCGCCGCACCGGUGCGUCGCCUGCCGAAGCAUGCUCUCACGCCGGCGACCUGCGCCGCCCCACUGCCGGCCCUCCUGGACGCCAUCUUCACCACCGUUCCUCCUAUCCGCCGUCGCACCGGUGCAUCGCCCGCCGGAGCAUGCUCUCAAGCCAGUGACCUGCGCCGCCCCACCGCCGGCCCUCCUCGACGCCACCUUCACCGCCGCUCCUCCUAUCUGCCGCCGCCCCACGCACGCCGUCACCACACACCUCUAGCCGGCGGCCUCUCCUUACGCGUGUGUCGCGGGUCGACGCCUGCCGCUCCUCUGUGGUCUCGCCUGAUAGCCCUGUCAGAUGCGGGGAGGAGGACGAGGUCGCCGCAGAGAGGUCGCCCCGCCUGCUACCGGAUCCGCUCAUGGACAUCGUGCCGCGCAUCGACGUCGGCACCAAGCAGUGCCUCCCGCUCCGAAUGCGUCAGGCAAACCGCUCUGAAUCGUGCAGUGAUAUUUUGAUCUAAUUGUUCCAGAGGUACGCAGUUGCUUUUCUCUGCUAAUAACAUCUUGGAGGUGGCAUGCCUUUGGUGAAGGAAUUGGAAGCUGGCGUUGGUUUUAUUAGAGGAUCCGUCCAGGUCAGACGUUCUUAUCACUAAAUAUGGUGAACGGGGGUCUGAAAUGGGAACUGUCAAUUACAGGCAUGCGUAUUGUUUGACAUUCUUCAGAAGUAGUGCUAGGCAUGCGUAUUGUUUGACAUUCUUCAAAAGUGCCAUUUCCUGUCAAGUUGAAUGAGAUGCUAUUGACAUCUACCAUCUGAAAAAAAGGAGAUUGGUUUGUGUUGUGCAAUUGGGUUGACUAGGCUUUUAUUAAUUUUACAUUCAGGAAGAUAUGCUCCUCCGCGUGAGCCACACCAAUCUCAAAGGCCUCUUCCACUGUCGUCAAAGGUACUUCAUCAUGCUUGCUACUAUAAGGAAGGAAGUGGAACCACGGUUCAUAAAUAAUAAGAUUUUUCUGUCUGUUUUUUAUUCACACUGUACUGCAACGGUUAUCUACUUGCAAUCAACCACUACAUCUAAUGCUUCCUAGAUCUGGAACGUCAAGGUGUGGUUUCCUUGUUUUUCACUAUUCCAUUUGACGCUUCAUUUUCAAAAUACAUGAAAAUUCCUUGGUGAAAUGUCUACUUUAUCUACAACAAUUAUCGCUACUGUCUUAUUGAAGAACUGAUUCCAACGACUAGAUUGUGACAUGAUGAAAUGCCCCCUCUAUCUUCAAGGAUUGCUAGGAAUAUUUUUGGUAUUUUGGUAAUGCUAUUGGAGUGAGUUUGCAACGCCUAUUUGAUAAUAAUCAUUGCGUGAUUUUUUCAGUCAGAGAGAGAUUUGUGCCAAAAACAAAUGCACAAAUACCAAAUUUUCGAACCCUCUUGAAAUUAAUGUAUUUGGUUAAAUGACACCGUUGUAUGGCAUUAUUGUACAAAGACGUGAUGCUGGAUCAUGCGAACAAACUUAGUGGUGUAUAUACUUGCAUAGGCAAUUUGUGAAGCUUACAUAUUUGAUAUUUGAGAUGAUGUUUUUGAUGGUAUAUCAUUUGUUAUGUUGAUGCAAAUAACCUUGACAUAUGCCUAUUUUAUUGACUGUUUUUUUUCAGAAUUUUUUGUCGACCUAUUAAAUUUCCCAAUCUUUUUGCAGUGAUGUGCAUCUAUUAAAUUUUCUCA